AUACGGGAGGCAGCAGUAGGGAAUCUUCCGCAAUGGACGAAAGUCUGACGGAGCAACGCCGCGUGAGCGAAGAAGGCCUUCGGGUCGUAAAGCUCUGUUGUUAGGGAAGAACAAGUACGAGAGUAACUGCUCGUACCUUGACGGUACCUAACCAGAAAGCCACGGCUAACUACGUGCCAGCAGCCGCGGUAAUACGUAGGUGGCAAGCGUUGUCCGGAAUUAUUGGGCGUAAAGCGCGCGCAGGCGGUCCUUUAAGUCUGAUGUGAAAGCCCACGGCUCAACCGUGGAGGGUCAUUGGAAACUGGGGGACUUGAGUGCAGAAGAGGAGAGUGGAAUUCCACGUGUAGCGGUGAAAUGCGUAGAGAUGUGGAGGAACACCAGUGGCGAAGGCGACUCUCUGGUCUGUAACUGACGCUGAGGCGCGAAAGCGUGGGGAGCAAACAGGAUUAGAAACCCUGGUAGUCCU
Molecule: ribosomal RNA, 466 nt
Filed under: uncultured bacterium
Lineage: Bacteria
Description: bacterial SSU rRNA
Rfam family: Bacterial small subunit ribosomal RNA
Source: RNAcentral